This 253-nucleotide ribosomal RNA is filed under the name uncultured Alphaproteobacteria bacterium. RNAcentral describes it as "partial 16S ribosomal RNA". It matches the Rfam family "Bacterial small subunit ribosomal RNA", at positions 524 to 776 of the family's 1533-position model. The record is from RNAcentral. Lineage: Bacteria; Pseudomonadati; Pseudomonadota; Alphaproteobacteria.
UACGGAGGGGGCUAGCGUUAUUCGGAAUUACUGGGCGUAAAGCGCACGUAGGCGGACCAGAAAGUUGGAGGUGAAAUCCCAGGGCUCAACCUUGGAACUGCCUUCAAAACUCCUGGUCUUGAGUUCGAGAGAGGUGAGUGGAAUUGCGAGUGUAGAGGUGAAAUUCGUAGAUAUUCGCAGGAACACCAGUGGCGAAGGCGGCUUACUGGUCCAUUACUGACGCUGAGGUGCGAAAGCGUGGGGAGCACACAGG